UCGCCUGUUUUUUCAAAAACAUCGCCUCUUGAUCUUGUAUAAGAGGUCCAGCCUGCCCAGUGACAAAGUUCAACGGCCGCGGUACCCUAACCGUGCGAAGGUAGCAUAAUCACUUGUUCUUUAAAUAGGGACUAGUAUCAACGGCAUCACGAGGGUUACACUGUCUCCUUUCUCCAAUCAGUGAAACUGAUCUCCCCGUGAAGAAGCGGGGAUAUAACUAUUAGACGAGAAGACCCCAUGGAGCUUUAAGCUCAACAACAAUUUUUAUGAAAAUAAUUCCUCAUAGUAUACAGACCCUGUUUGUUAGCUUUAGGUUGGGGUGACCGCGGAGUAUAAUUUAACCUCCACAACGAAAGGGCAUAAAACCCUUAUCCAAGAGCCACUGCUCUAAGAAUCACCAAAUUGACGUAUAAUGAUCCGAUUUUCGAUCAACGGACCAAGUUACCCUGGGGAUAACAGCGCAAUCCAUUUUUAGAGCCCCUAUCGACAAAUGGGUUUACGACCUCGAUGUUGGAUCAGGGUAUCCUAGUGGUGCAGCCGCUACUAAAGGUUCGUUUGUUCAACGAUUAAAACCCUAC
RNAcentral lists this ribosomal RNA (578 nucleotides) under Amietia nutti. RNAcentral's name for it is "partial 16S ribosomal RNA". It matches the Rfam family "Bacterial large subunit ribosomal RNA", at positions 1796 to 2599 of the family's 2925-position model. The record is from RNAcentral. Lineage: Eukaryota; Metazoa; Chordata; Amphibia; Anura; Pyxicephalidae.